RNAcentral lists this ribosomal RNA (375 nucleotides) under uncultured organism. RNAcentral's name for it is "partial 16S ribosomal RNA". It matches the Rfam family "Bacterial small subunit ribosomal RNA", at positions 526 to 896 of the family's 1533-position model. The record is from RNAcentral.
GUAGGUGGGCAAGCGUUGUCCGGGAAUUAUUGGGCGUAAAGCGCGCGCAGGGCGGUCCUUUAAGUCUGAUGUGAAAGCCCACGGCUCAACCGUGGAGGGUCAUUGGAAACUGGGGGACUUGAGUACAGAAGAGGAAAGCGGAAUUCCAAGUGUAGCGGUGAAAUGCGUAGAGAUUUGGAGGAACACCAGUGGCGAAGGCGGCUUUCUGGUCUGUAACUGACGCUGAGGCGCGAAAGCGUGGGGAGCAAACAGGAUUAGAUACCCUGGUAGUCCACGCCGUAAACGAUGAGUGCUAAGUGUUAGGGGGUUUCCGCCCCUUAGUGCUGCAGCUAACGCAUUAAGCACUCCGCCUGGGGAGUACGGCCGCAAAGGCUG